AAUGAUCCUCCAACUUCAGCCUCCUAAAGUGCUGGGAUUAUAGGCACAAGCCACUGCGCCUGGCCACCUUUCUGGAGUUUAAUAAUGGAGAUGUGUCAGAACAUGUGAACUUAUGAUGUGGUUUCAAGAGCAACCCCAUCUCUCACUCAGGCUGCAGUCCAUGCAUGCAGCAGGUGGGCUGUGCUUAUUGCAGUCCUCUGGGCACCAGCCUGACAGUUAUUGGUUACCGGGCCUGAGGGGAAGCACUCUGGAGGGUCUUCGCACUGGCAGUUAAGUACUCUGGACAGAAAUGACAGUCACUGGUUGGAAGUGAUCUUACAACCAGGCCCAACACAAGAGUUGUAAAAGACAAUUUUCUUAUGUCUAUAGGGGAAAGAGCUGGAAGUAUUUGAACAGUUUUAGAGUUAGCAACAGGAACUGACUGUGUUGGCCAUUAGGGCUUUAGUUCAAACUGAAGCUCAGACUUUUAAUCAUUUAGUGGGCUUGAAGGCCACAAACGCAGGGUUUCAUAGUCUUGCUCUCCUGUUCCAGCCGAGAGAAAUUGUCUGUGUUUAUUUUGUAAAAAGCCCUUUUUAGCCACUGUAGUAUCAAGAGGCAGCUUUGGAGGAUGGAUGAUAAUUGGGAUUAGGAGCUGGGAUCUGUAUCAUAGGCUUGGCUGUUUCAGAAUUACUUGGAGAAUACAACCUAGGGUUGCAAAGUAGAAGUAGCAGAUCACGGGAGGGUUAAGUCCCCCUUUAUUUUGGCACAGUCAUGUCCUACCUGAUACAACUCUGUUUCAAGUACCAUACUUUGAAGGCAGCUUUAUCAAGCUGAAACCCAGGGACAGUUACCAGGGGAGGUGGGAGUCUUGGGAAUCGGAAGGGAUUACUUGGUAGCUGCUCUAAGUAUUGGAAGAGCUGUCAGAAGUUUCUUCCUUACUGGCGAGGAACUUACCUCUUUGUAGUGAGAUGAAUUGGACUGCAUUGGAGGUGGUGUGCUCACUACUCUAAGUGACCAAAGAAGCUGGAGAAAGGAUUUGACCCAAGUAUAGAGAGGAAGCGUGGGUGCCAUGGUGACUCCUCAGGUCCCUCCCACCUCUGUCAUGAUAUUUCUGUAUUUUUUUCUCAGAAAUAAACCUUUCCUCAUAGGGGAAAGAGUGAAUGCCACUUGAGCCCUCACUAUAUAAAGACAUGGCUGCUCACAAAUGCUCCACUGCGAAUUCCUCAGGAAUCUUGAAAUUGGUCGUAGAAUCUCCAUUUUACAGAUGCAACAAUAUUUUCCUCACUUCCUGGAAAUGGCUCUGCUCUAGCCUCACAACAUUAUCCAGGAGAUGUCUUAGCGACAGUGAUGGUUAAGGUAGAGCACCUCCAAGAAUCUGAGUGUUGAAUCUUCCAAAGUGUUCAAAUAUGUGGUAAGAUAAAUUAAGCAGAAGGUAAGUUGAGGGUUGGACUGUGUGCUGUUGGCCUCUUGUUCUAGCGACAAGGUCAGCAGUCCCUGUGGGGAUCUCAGUUCCUGCCCCCACACAGGCAUGUGUACACAUACUCACAUGCACACAGACACUCCUGGCUUUUGGUUCUUUCCCAGGUAGGAAACUGUUCUUUACACCUUGACUUGCUGAUCUGUCUUCUAGCAGGGAUCCAAGAACGUUACUGAGGGGCAACAGGACUUUGGGUGGGGGUAACAGACUGGGAUUGAGGUGAUCAGAUUCUAGUCUCAUAUGAGUCCCUAAUAGGGUUUUGGACAAAAUCUCCAUUCUGAAUUUGUUUUCUUAGCUCUAUAAAGUCCACACAUAAGUUUAACAAGGUUUUGGUUCUAGUUUCUAACUCACUGAGACCUAAUUGAUGUGGAACACUAUUUCAGUCAUUACCACCAGCACCAGCAUUGUUACUCUUUCUCUGAACUGGUGGUUGACCUGUUUUGGAGAAGUGAUUGUGAAGAUUAAAUGAGUUAAUAUGACAAGUUUCAAACAGUGCAUCGGCAUGGCAUAUAAUACAAUCUAUAAAGUGUUAGUAGUGAUGAGAAGACAUUGCUUACAGGGUUGUGAAUUGUGAUAUGCCUCUUGGAAAACAGGGCAACAGACAUAUCAAGAGCCAAAAACAAAUGGCUCUCAAACCAGAGAUCCCACUUCCAGAAAUCCCAAAAUAUAUAACGUUGGAAAACUCAUACCAAACAUAUUCAUCACAGGAUUAUUACAUACAUUUUAAAAUGAGUGGCUAACAAGAUUGAAUAAAUUAGGAGACCAUCUACUUGACUGACUCCUUUGUAGCCACUAAAAGACUAAUAGCAA
Molecule: long non-coding RNA, 2266 nt
Organism: Sapajus apella (tufted capuchin)
Lineage: Eukaryota; Metazoa; Chordata; Mammalia; Primates; Cebidae
Exons: 3
Source: RefSeq, a predicted model, not a curated record